This 73-nucleotide transfer RNA is filed under the name Stegodyphus mimosarum. It matches the Rfam family "tRNA". Rfam says of the family: Transfer RNA (tRNA) molecules are approximately 80 nucleotides in length. Their secondary structure includes four short double-helical elements and three loops (D, anti-codon, and T loops). The record is from Rfam by way of RNAcentral. Lineage: Eukaryota; Metazoa; Arthropoda; Arachnida; Araneae; Eresidae.
GCCUUCGUAGUGUAAUGGUCAGCACGCUCGACGCGUAUUCGAGAGGCCCGCGGUUCGAGUCCUGGCUACGGCG